RNAcentral lists this long non-coding RNA (900 nucleotides) under Homo sapiens (human). RNAcentral's name for it is "long non-coding RNA NONHSAT203309.1". The record is from RNAcentral. Lineage: Eukaryota; Metazoa; Chordata; Mammalia; Primates; Hominidae.
GUCUGUUCCAGCCUCAGUGGUGUCGAGGAUAAUGGGAAGAGGAGGAUGCAACAUCACUGCAAUACAGGAUGUUACUGGUGCCCAUAUUGAUGUGGAUAAACAAAAAGAUAAGAAUGGCGAGAGAAUGAUCACAAUAAGGGGUGGCACAGAAUCAACAAGAUAUGCAGUUCAACUAAUCAAUGCACUCAUUCAAGAUCCUGCUAAGGAACUGGAAGACUUGAUUCCUAAAAAUCAUAUCAGAACACCUGCCAGCACCAAAUCAAUUCAUGCUAACUUCUCAUCUGGAGUAGGUACCACAGCAGCUUCCAGUAAAAAUGCAUUUCCUUUGGGUGCUCCAACUCUUGUAACUUCACAGGCAACAACGUUAUCUACGUUCCAGCCCGCUAAUAAACUUAAUAAGAAUGUUCCAACAAAUGUACGUUCUUCUUUCCCAGUUUCUCUACCCUUAGCUUAUCCUCACCCUCAUUUUGCCCUGCUGGCUGCUCAAACUAUGCAACAGAUUCGGCAUCCUCGCUUACCCAUGGCCCAGUUUGGAGGAACCUUCUCACCUUCUCCUAACACAUGGGGACCAUUCCCAGUGAGACCUGUGAAUCCUGGCAACACAAAUAGCUCUCCAAAGCAUAAUAACACAAGCCGUCUACCUAACCAGAACGGGACUGUUUUACCCUCAGAGUCUGCUGGACUAGCUACUGCCAGUUGUCCUAUCACUGUCUCUUCUGUAGUUGCUGCCAGUCAGCAACUGUGUGUCACUAAUACCCGGACUCCUUCAUCAGUCAGAAAGCAGUUGUUUGCCUGUGUGCCUAAGACAAGUCCUCCAGCAACAGUGAUUUCUUCUGUGACAAGCACUUGUAGUUCCCUGCCUUCUGUCUCCUCUGCACCUAUCACUAGCGGGCAAGCUCC